This 335-nucleotide unclassified non-coding RNA is filed under the name soil metagenome. Its description in RNAcentral is "partial contains 5.8S ribosomal RNA, internal transcribed spacer 2, and large subunit ribosomal RNA". The stretch from base 1 to 120 matches the Rfam family "5.8S ribosomal RNA", at positions 35 to 154 of the family's 154-position model. The record is from RNAcentral.
GAUGAAGAACGCAGCGAAAUGCGAUAAGUAAUGCGAAUUGCAGAAUUUCCGUGAGUCAUCGAAUCUUGAACGCACAUUGCGCCCGCCAGUAUUCUGGCGGGCAUGCCUGUUCGAGCGUCAUUUCAACCAUCAAGCCCCCGGCUUGUGUUGGGGACCUGCGGCUGCCGCAGGCCCUGAAAACCAGUGGCGGGCUCGCUAGUCACUCCGAGCGUAGUAAUACAUCUCGCUCAGGGCGUGCUGCGGGUUCCGGCCGUUAAAAAGCCUUAUUUACCCAAGGUUGACCUCGGAUCAGGUAGGAAGACCCGCUGAACUUAAGCAUAUCAAUAAGCGGAGGA